Molecule: ribosomal RNA, 324 nt
Filed under: uncultured eukaryote
Lineage: Eukaryota
Description: partial 18S ribosomal RNA
Rfam family: Eukaryotic small subunit ribosomal RNA
Source: RNAcentral
CCCUUAGAUGUUCUGGGCCGCACGCGCGCCACACUGAUGCAUUCAACGAGUUUCUUCCUGGUCCGAGAGGAAUGGGUAACCUUUUGAAAGUGCAUCGUGAUAGGGAUAGACUAUUGCAAUUAUUGGUCUUCAACGAGGAAUUCCUAGUAGACGUAGUUCAUCAGACUGCAUCGAUUACGUCCCUGCCCUUUGUACACACCGCCCGUCGCUCCUACCGAUCGAAGAGUUAGGUGAAUUGUUUUGAUCGAUAAGAUUUGACUAUGGUCAACUCUCGUUGUGAAAUUCUGUGAAUCUGACUGUUUAGAGGAAGGAAAAGUCGUAACA